CAGUAGCCGCGGUAAUACGUAGGGCGCAAGCGUUAUCCGGAAUUAUUGGGCGUAAAGAGCUCGUAGGCGGUUUGUCGCGUCUGCCGUGAAAGUCCGGGGCUCAACCCGGGAUCUGCGGUGGGUACGGGCAGACUAGAGUGAUGUAGGGGAGACUGGAAUUCCUGGUGUAGCGGUGAAAUGCGCAGAUAUCAGGAGGAACACCGAUGGCGAAGGCAGGUCUCUGGGCAUUAACUGACGCUGAGGAGCGAAAGCAUGGGGAGCGAACAGGAUUAGAUACCCCCGUAGUCCCUGUCUCUUAUAC
Molecule: ribosomal RNA, 301 nt
Filed under: uncultured bacterium
Lineage: Bacteria
Description: partial 16S ribosomal RNA
Rfam family: Bacterial small subunit ribosomal RNA
Source: RNAcentral